GACGAACGCUGGCGGCGUGCUUAACACAUGCAAGUCGAACGGAAAGGCCCUGCUUUUGUGGGGUGCUCGAGUGGCGAACGGGUGAGUAACACGUGAGUAACCUGCCCUUGACUUUGGGAUAACUUCAGGAAACUGGGGCUAAUACCGGAUAGGAGCUCCUGCUGCAUGGUGGGGGUUGGAAAGUUUCGGCGGUUGGGGAUGGACUCGCGGCUUAUCAGCUUGUUGGUGGGGUAGUGGCUUACCAAGGCUUUGACGGGUAGCCGGCCUGAGAGGGUGACCGGCCAAAUUGGGGCUGGGAUACGGCCCAGACUCCUAAGGGGAGCAGGAGUGGGGAAUAUUGGAAAAUGGGCGGGAGCCUGGAGCAGCCACGCCGCGUGCGGGAUGACGGCCUUCGGGUUGUAAACCGCUUUCGCCUGUGGCGAAGCGUGGGUGGCGGUAAUGGGUAAAGGAGCGCCGGCUAACUAAGUGC
This 469-nucleotide ribosomal RNA is filed under the name uncultured bacterium. Its description in RNAcentral is "partial 16S ribosomal RNA". It matches the Rfam family "Bacterial small subunit ribosomal RNA", at positions 28 to 508 of the family's 1533-position model. The record is from RNAcentral.